This is a non-coding RNA of Chlorocebus sabaeus (green monkey), 1316 nucleotides long. NCBI's taxonomy places the organism in Eukaryota, Metazoa, Chordata, Mammalia, Primates, Cercopithecidae. The record is from RefSeq and is a predicted model, not a curated record.
UCCACUGUGGCAGUCAUGGAGGGUCACUGUUCUGGUCACCUCUUUAAAAAGAACUUACCUGGGAGACGUGGUGCCACUGCGGGCUCGCUCUGCGGUGCGCUAGGCUUGGUGGGAAGACCUGUUCUCGAGUCCGCGCUUUUCGUCACCGCCAUGUCGGGAGGUGGUGUGAUUCGUGGGCCCGCAGGGAACAACGAUUGCCGCAUCUACGUGGGUAACUUACCUCCAGACAUCCGAACCAAGGACAUUGAGGACGUGUUCUACAAAUACGGCGCUAUCCGCGACAUCCACCUCAAGAAUCGCCGCGGGGGACCGCCCUUCGCCUUCGUUGAGUUUUAGGACCCGUGAGACGCGGAAGACGCGGUGUUUGGUCGCGACGUGGGUACCGUCUGCGGGUGGAGUUUCCUCCAAGCGGCCGUGGAACAAGCCGAGGCGGCAGCGGGGGUGGAGGUGGCGGAGCUCGCCGAGGUCGCUAUGGCCCCUCAUCCAGGCGGUCUGAAAACAGAGUGGUUGUCUCUGGACUGCCUCCAAGUGGAAGUUGGCAGGAUUUAAAGGAUCACAUGCGUGAAGCAGGUGAUGUAUGUUAUGCUGAUGUUUACCGAGAUGGCACUGGUGUCGUGGAGUUUGUACAGAAAGAAGAUAUGACCUAUGCAGUUCGAAAACUGGAUAACACUGAGUUUAGAUCUCAUGAGGGAGAAACUGCCUACAUCCGGGUUAAAGUUGAUGGGCCCAGAAGUCCAAGUUAUGGAAGAUCUCUAUCUCGAAGCCGUAGUCGUAGCAGAAGCCGUGGCAGAAGCAACAGCAGGAGUCGCAGUUACUCCCCAAGGAGAAGCAGAGGAUCACCACGCUAUUCUCCCCAUCAUAGCAGAUCUCGCUCUCGUACAUAAGAUGAUUGGUGACACUUUUUGUAGAACCCAUGUUGUAUACAGUUUUCCUUUAUUCAGUACAAUCUUUCAUUUUUUAAUUCAAACUGUUUUGUUCAGAAUGGGCUAAAGUGUUGAAUUGCAUUCUUGUAAUAUCCCCUUGCUCCUAACAUCUACAUUCCCCUCGUGUCUUCGAUAAAUUGUAUUUUAAGUGAUGUCAUAGACAGGGUUGUUUAAAUUUAGUUAACUCCAUACUCUUCAGACUGUGAUAUUGUGUAAAUGUCUAUUCUGCCCUGGUUUGUGUGAACUGGGAUGUUGGGGGUGUUUGUGGUUGUCUUACCUGGGGAAGUUCUUAUGUUUAUCUUGCUUUUCAUGUGUCUUUCUGUAGACAUAUCUGAAGAGAUGGAUUAAGAAUGCUUUGGAUUAAGGAUUGUGGAGCACAUUUCAAUCAUUUUA